Molecule: ribosomal RNA, 254 nt
Filed under: uncultured bacterium
Lineage: Bacteria
Description: partial 16S ribosomal RNA
Rfam family: Bacterial small subunit ribosomal RNA
Source: RNAcentral
UACGGGGGGGGCGAGCGUUGUUCGGAAUCACUGGGCGUAAAGGGCGCGUAGGCGGCCCGCACAAGUCUGCGGUGAAAACCUCCGGCUUAACCGGGGGCCGGCCGUGGAAACUGUCGGGCUGGAGGCUGGGAGAGGGCAGCGGAAUUCCCGGUGUAGCGGUGAAAUGCGUAGAGAUCGGGAGGAACACCGGCGGCGAAGGCGGCUGCCUGGACCAGUACCGACGUUCAGGCACGAAAGCGUGGGGAGCAAACAGG